This 440-nucleotide ribosomal RNA is filed under the name uncultured bacterium. RNAcentral's name for it is "partial 16S ribosomal RNA". It matches the Rfam family "Bacterial small subunit ribosomal RNA", at positions 338 to 795 of the family's 1533-position model. The record is from RNAcentral.
CCUACGGGAGGCAGCAGUGGGGAAUAUUGCACAAUGGGGGAAACCCUGAUGCAGCGACGCCGCGUGAGUGAAGAAGUAAUUCGUUAUGUAAAGCUCUAUCAGCAGGGAAGAAAAUGACGGUACCUGAGUAAGAAGCCCCGGCUAACUACGUGCCAGCAGCCGCGGUAAUACGUAGGGGGCAAGCGUUAUCCGGAUUUACUGGGUGUAAAGGGAGCGUAGACGGUAGUGCAAGUCUGGAGUGAAAGGCGGGGGCUCAACCCCCGGAGUGCUCUGGAAACUGUAUGGCUGGAGUGCAGGAGAGGUAAGUGGAAUUCCUAGUGUAGCGGUGAAAUGCGUAGAUAUUAGGAAGAACACCAGUGGCGAAGGCGGCCUGCUGGGCUUUUACUGACGCUGAGGCUCGAAAGUGUGGGGAGCAAACAGGAUUAGAUACCCCUGUAGUC